This 315-nucleotide long non-coding RNA is filed under the name Bos taurus (domestic cattle). RNAcentral's name for it is "long non-coding RNA NONBTAT022356". The record is from RNAcentral. Lineage: Eukaryota; Metazoa; Chordata; Mammalia; Artiodactyla; Bovidae.
AAAUGUUCCAUUACCAGCUGAAGUUCAUUUGAAGUUAUUUAACAUCUAAAAACUGCCCUCAGAGCCCCCCACCCAUUCCAGUCCACAUCUGUUCCGUAUCUGUGACGCUGUCAGCAAGUCAGGUUCUCAGAGCCUUUGUCCCUCAGCACCUAUUACACUGAGGUAAUCUGGAGGCCGUCCACUCCCGGUUGCGACUGGGUUACCCAUCGCCCCUGUCCCCUCAAACAUCAAGGCCUAGCUCUGCCUUCACCUCCUGCAGAAGAAUGCUCAUUUUAAUAGAUGGCUUUUUUGGUCAAUUAAUUUCUUAUAGGCAUC